CCGCGUGAGGGAUGACGGCUUUCGGGUUGUAAACCUCUUUCGCUACCGAACAAGGCUCCAUUUUUGUGGGGUUGAGGGUAGGUGGAUAAGAAGCGCCGGCUAACUACGUGCCAGCAGCCGCGGUAAUACGUAGGGCGCGAGCGUUGUCCGGAAUUAUUGGGCGUAAAGAGCUCGUAGGCGGCUUGUCGCGUCUGCUGUGAAAACGCGGGGCUUAACUCCGCGCGUGCAGUGGGUACGGGCAGGCUAGAGUGUGGUAGGGGUGAUUGGAAUUCCUGGUGUAGCGGUGGAAUGCGCAGAUAUCAGGAGGAACACCGAUGGCGAAGGCAGGUCACUGGGCCAUUACUGACGCUGAGGAGCGAAAGCAUGGGGAGCGAACAGGAUUAGAUACCCUGGUAGUCCAUGCCGUAAACGUUGGGCACUAGGUGUGGGGCCUGUUUCCACGGGUUCUGCGCCGUAGCUAACGCAUUAAGUGCCCCGCCUGGGGAGUACGGCCGCAAGGCU
This 501-nucleotide ribosomal RNA is filed under the name uncultured Actinobaculum sp. RNAcentral's name for it is "bacterial SSU rRNA". It matches the Rfam family "Bacterial small subunit ribosomal RNA", at positions 397 to 895 of the family's 1533-position model. Lineage: Bacteria; Bacillati; Actinomycetota; Actinomycetes; Actinomycetales; Actinomycetaceae. The record is from RNAcentral.